This 251-nucleotide ribosomal RNA is filed under the name uncultured bacterium. RNAcentral describes it as "partial 16S ribosomal RNA". It matches the Rfam family "Bacterial small subunit ribosomal RNA", at positions 649 to 902 of the family's 1533-position model. The record is from RNAcentral.
UGGUUGCUGUGGGUGGAAUGUGUGGUGUAGCGGUGAAAUGCUUAGAGAUCACACAGAAUAUCGAUUGCGAAGGCAGCUCACAAAGCCAAGAUUGACGCUGAGGCACGAAAGUGUGGGGAUCAAACAGGAUUAGAUACCCUGGUAGUCCACACUGUAAACGAUGAUAACUCGCUGUCGGCGAUAUACAGUCGGUGGCCAAGCGAAAGCGAUAAGUUAUCCACCUGGGGAGUACGACCGCAAGGUUGAAACUC